Molecule: ribosomal RNA, 465 nt
Filed under: Vreelandella stevensii
Lineage: Bacteria; Pseudomonadati; Pseudomonadota; Gammaproteobacteria; Oceanospirillales; Halomonadaceae
Description: partial 16S ribosomal RNA
Rfam family: Bacterial small subunit ribosomal RNA
Source: RNAcentral
CCUACGGGAGGCAGCAGUGGGGAAUAUUGGACAAUGGGCGAAAGCCUGAUCCAGCCAUGCCGCGUGUGUGAAGAAGGCCUUCGGGUUGUAAAGCACUUUCAGUGGGGAAGAAAGCCUUGGGGCUAAUACCCUCGAGGAAGGACAUCACCCACAGAAGAAGCACCGGCUAACUCCGUGCCAGCAGCCGCGGUAAUACGGAGGGUGCGAGCGUUAAUCGGAAUUACUGGGCGUAAAGCGCGCGUAGGCGGUCUGAUAAGCCGGUUGUGAAAGCCCCGGGCUCAACCUGGGAACGGCAUCCGGAACUGUCAGGCUAGAGUGCAGGAGAGGAAGGUAGAAUUCCCGGUGUAGCGGUGAAAUGCGUAGAGAUCGGGAGGAAUACCAGUGGCGAAGGCGGCCUUCUGGACUGACACUGACGCUGAGGUGCGAAAGCGUGGGUAGCAAACAGGACUAGAUACCCGAGUAGUC